RNAcentral lists this transfer RNA (137 nucleotides) under Caudoviricetes sp. RNAcentral describes it as "tRNA-Ile". The record is from RNAcentral. Lineage: Duplodnaviria; Heunggongvirae; Uroviricota; Caudoviricetes.
GCCGCCGAAGCUCACAGGGGAGCGCUGCACAGAUAAUGCAGGUCACAUUGGCGAUAACGGGCUGACUGCUCAACGUGUGAUUAGCCACCACGCAGUAGCACAGCUCGGGUGCCGGUUCAACUCCGGCCGGCGGCUUA